RNAcentral lists this ribosomal RNA (1418 nucleotides) under uncultured bacterium. Its description in RNAcentral is "bacterial SSU rRNA". It matches the Rfam family "Bacterial small subunit ribosomal RNA". The record is from RNAcentral.
AGAGUUUGAUCCUGGCUCAGGAUGAACGCUGGCGGCGUGCCUAAUACAUGCAAGUCGAACGAAACUUCUUUAUCACCGAGUGCUUGCACUCACCGAUAAAGAGUUGAGUGGCGAACGGGUGAGUAACACGUGGGCAACCUGCCCAAAAGAGGGGGAUAACACUUGGAAACAGGUGCUAAUACCGCAUAACCAUAGUUACCGCAUGGUAACUAUGUAAAAGGUGGCUAUGCUACCGCUUUUGGAUGGGCCCGCGACGCAUUAGCUAGUUGGUGGGGUAAAGGCUUACCAAGGCAAUGAUGCGUAGCCGAACUGAGAGGUUGAUCGGCCACAUUGGGACUGAGACACGGCCCAGACUCCUGCGGGAGGCAGCAGUAGGGAAUUUUCGUCAAUGGGCGCAAGCCUGAACGAGCGAUGCCGCGUGAGUGAAGAAGGCCUUCGGGUCGUAAAGCUCUGUUGCGGGGGAAAAAAGGCAGCAUCAGGAAAUGGGUGCUGACUGAUGGUGCCCCGCCAGAAAGUCACGGCUAACUACGUGCCAGCAGCCGCGGUAAUACGUAGGUGGCGAGCGUUAUCCGGAAUGAUUGGGCGUAAAGGGUGCGCAGGCGGUCCUGCAAGUCUGGAGUGAAACGCAUGAGCUCAACUCAUGCAUGGCUUUGGAAACUGGAGGACUGGAGAGCAGGAGAGGGCGGUGGAACUCCAUGUGUAGCGGUAAAAUGCGUAGAUAUAUGGAAGAACACCAGUGGCGAAGGCGGCCGCCUGGCCUGUUGCUGACGCUGAGGCACGAAAGCGUGGGGAGCAAAUAGGAUUAGAUACCCUAGUAGUCCACGCCGUAAACGAUGAGGACCAAGUGUUGGGGGUGAAACCUCAGUGCUGAAGUUAACGCAGUGAGUCCUCCGCCUGGGGAGUAUGCACGCAAGUGUGAAACUCAAAGGAAUUGACGGGGGCCCGCACAAGCGGUGGAGUAUGUGGUUUAAUUCGAAGCAACGCGAAGAACCUUACCAGGCCUUGACAUGGGAUGCGAAGAUGCAGAGAUGCAUCGGAGGUCAACAUCCACACAGGUGGUGCAUGGUUGUCGUCAGCUCGUGUCGUGAGAUGUUGGGUCAAGUCCCGCAACGAGCGCAACCCUUGUGGCAUGUUGCUAACAGGAAAAGCUGAGGACUCAUGCCAGACUGCCGGUGACAAACCGGAGGAAGGCGGGGAUGACGUCAAAUCAUCAUGCCCCUUAUGGCCUGGGCUACACACGUACUACAAUGGCGGCUACAAAGAGCAGCGAGACAGGGAUGUCGAGCGAAUCUCAUAAAAGCCGUCCCAGUUCGGAUUGGAGGCUGCAACCCGCCUCCAUGAAGUUGGAAUCGCUAGUAAUCGCGGAUCAGCAUGCCGCGGUGAAUACGUUCCCGGGCCUUGUACACACCGCCCGUCAA